AGGCAGCAGUUAGGAAUCUUCCCCAAUGGACGCAAGUCUGAUGGAGCAACGCCGCGUGAGUGAAGAAGGGUUUCGGCUCGUAAAGCUCUGUUGUUGGUGAAGAAGGACAGGGGUAGUAACUGACCUUUGUUUGACGGUAAUCAAUUAGAAAGUCACGGCUAACUACGUGCCAGCAGACGCGGUAAUACGUAGCUGGCAAGCGUUGUCCGGAUUUAUUGGGCGUAAAGCGAGUGCAGGCGGCUCGAUAAGUCUGAUGUGAAAGCCUUCGGCUCAACCGGAGAAUUGCAUCAGAAACUGUCGAGCUUGAGUACAGAAGAGGAGAGUGGAACUCCAUGUGUAGCGGUGAAAUGCGUAGAUAUAUGGAAGAACACCGGUGGCGAAGGCGGCUCUCUGGUCUGUUACUGACGCUGAGGCUCGAAAGCAUGGGUAGCGAACAGGAUUAGAUACCCUAGUAGUCC
Molecule: ribosomal RNA, 458 nt
Filed under: uncultured bacterium
Lineage: Bacteria
Description: bacterial SSU rRNA
Rfam family: Bacterial small subunit ribosomal RNA
Source: RNAcentral